This 353-nucleotide small nuclear RNA is filed under the name Felis catus (domestic cat). RNAcentral describes it as "7SK RNA". It matches the Rfam family "7SK RNA". From Rfam's summary of the family: 7SK was discovered as an abundant small nuclear RNA in the mid-70s but a possible function has only recently been suggested. Two independent studies have found that 7SK RNA binds the CDK9/cyclin T complex (known as elongation factor P-TEFb). The record is from Rfam by way of RNAcentral. Lineage: Eukaryota; Metazoa; Chordata; Mammalia; Carnivora; Felidae.
GGAUGUGAGGGCUAUCUGGCAGUGACAUCUGUCGCCCCAUUGACCACCAACGUUGAUUCGGCUGAUCUGGCUGGCUAGGCGGGUGUCCCCAUCCUCCUUCCCACCUCAUGUGUGUGUCUCUUGAAGCUGAACACUUGGUCGAGGAGGACAGCCUUGCCUGAUAGACGAAGAGCGUUCAUUGGUCAAGGGUCAUCGGUCAAGGAUAUACCAGGGGCUGUGCUCCCCUACUGGAACUUGUAAACAGGUUCUUUUCUGGAAAAAGAAAACAAAACAAAAAAAAAAGAUUGAUAAAACUUUAUGAUGAAGAGGAAAUCAGGGACUCUUACAUAUUCCUGGUGGGAAUGUGAGUUGGU